UAUUCCCCACUGCUGCCUCCCGUAGGAGUCUGGGCCGUAUCUCAGUCCCAAUGUGGCCGUUUAACCUCUCAGUCCGGCUACUGAUCAUCGUCUUGGUAGGCCGUUACCCCACCAACUAACUAAUCAGACGCAAGCCCAUCUAUUAGCGAAUUGCUCCUUUUCUGACUACAUCAUGCGAUGUUUCCAGCUUAUACGGUAUAGCAAUGAUUUCUCACUGUUAUUCCCUACUAAUAGGCAGGUUGCUUACGCGUUACUCACCAGUCCGCCACUAACCGCUUCCAUUAGUAAACUAACGAAUUAAGUUCGUUCGACUUGCAUGUCUUAUGUGCGCCGCCAGCGUUCAUCCUGAGCCAA
Molecule: ribosomal RNA, 354 nt
Filed under: uncultured rumen bacterium
Lineage: Bacteria
Description: partial 16S ribosomal RNA
Source: RNAcentral